This 259-nucleotide unclassified non-coding RNA is filed under the name Geopora sp. RNAcentral describes it as "partial contains 5.8S ribosomal RNA, internal transcribed spacer 2, and large subunit ribosomal RNA". The stretch from base 1 to 52 matches the Rfam family "5.8S ribosomal RNA", at positions 103 to 154 of the family's 154-position model. Lineage: Eukaryota; Fungi; Ascomycota; Pezizomycetes; Pezizales; Pyronemataceae. The record is from RNAcentral. RNAcentral also lists the same sequence under 2 other names.
AACGCACAUUGCGCCUCCUGGUAUUCCGGGAGGCAUGCCUGUUCGAGCGUCACCAAAAUCAACUCAAGCACUUUUGCAUGGUCAUGGAGGAAGAGUCCGUCUUGUUGCGGUCUCCCCGCCGAAAAUCAACGGCGGAAAGUCACUGGCACCCGGCGUAGUAGAAUCUGUUCGCUGUUCAGCCAGUGUCGUUCCUGCCGGCAAACCCCCCACAAUUCUCUUGAUUGACCUCGGAUCAGGUAGGGAUACCCGCUGAACUUAA